AUGAACGCUGGCGGCGUGCCUAAUACAUGCAAGUCGAGCGAACAGACGAGGAGCUUGCUCCUCUGACGUUAGCGGCGGACGGGUGAGUAACACGUGGAUAACCUACCUAUAAGACUGGGAUAACUUCGGGAAACCGGAGCUAAUACCGGAUAAUAUAUUGAACCGCAUGGUUCAAUAGUGAAAGACGGUUUUGCUGUCACUUAUAGAUGGAUCCGCGCCGCAUUAGCUAGUUGGUAAGGUAACGGCUUACCGAGGCAACGAUGCGUAGCCGACCUGAGAGGGUGAUCAGCCACACUGGAACUGAGACACGGUCCAGACUCCUACGGGAGGCAGCAGUAGGGAAUCUUCCGCAAUGGGCGAAAGCCUGACGGAGCAACGCCGCGUGAGUGAUGAAGGUCUUCGGAUCGUAAAACUCUGUUAUUAGGGAAGAACAAAUGUGUAAGUAACUAUGCACGUCUUGACGGUACCUAAUCAGAAAGCCACGGCUAACUACGUG
This 496-nucleotide ribosomal RNA is filed under the name uncultured bacterium. Its description in RNAcentral is "partial 16S ribosomal RNA". It matches the Rfam family "Bacterial small subunit ribosomal RNA", at positions 29 to 507 of the family's 1533-position model. The record is from RNAcentral.